RNAcentral lists this ribosomal RNA (253 nucleotides) under uncultured bacterium. Its description in RNAcentral is "partial 16S ribosomal RNA". It matches the Rfam family "Bacterial small subunit ribosomal RNA", at positions 524 to 776 of the family's 1533-position model. The record is from RNAcentral.
UACGUAGGGUGCGAGCGUUAAUCGGAAUUACUGGGCGUAAAGCGUGCGCAGGCGGUUGUGCAAGAAAGGUGUGAAAUCCCCGGGCUUAAGCUGGGAACUGCACUUGUGACUGCACGGCUAGAGUACGGUAGAGGGGGAUGGAAUUCCGCGUGUAGCAGUGAAAUGCGUAGAUUUGCGGAGGAACACCGAUGGCGAAGGCAAUCCCCUGGACCUGUACCGACGCUCAUGCACGAAAGCGUGGGGAGCAAACAGG